UACGAAGGGGGCUAGCGUUGUUCGGAAUUACUGGGCGUAAAGGGCGCGUAGGCGGUGUGUCAAGUCAGGCGUGAAAGCCCCCGGCUCAACUGGGGAGGGUCACUCGAUACUGAUCGACUCGAAGGCAGAAGAGGGAAGCGGAAUUCCCGGUGUAGUGGUGAAAUGCGUAGAUAUCGGGAGGAACACCAGUGGCGAAGGCGGCUUUCUGGUCUGCUCUUGACGCUGAGGCGCGAAAGCUAGGGUAGCAAACGGG
This 253-nucleotide ribosomal RNA is filed under the name uncultured bacterium. RNAcentral describes it as "partial 16S ribosomal RNA". It matches the Rfam family "Bacterial small subunit ribosomal RNA", at positions 524 to 776 of the family's 1533-position model. The record is from RNAcentral.